Molecule: ribosomal RNA, 439 nt
Filed under: uncultured bacterium
Lineage: Bacteria
Description: partial 16S ribosomal RNA
Rfam family: Bacterial small subunit ribosomal RNA
Source: RNAcentral
CUACGGGCGGCUGCAGUGAGGAAUAUUGCACAAUGGAGGAAACUCUGAUGCAGCAACGCCGCGUGGAGGAUGACGCAUUUCGGUGUGUAAACUCCUUUUAUAUGUCAAGAAAAUGACGGUAGCAUAUGAAUAAGCUCCGACUAACUCCGUGCCAGCAGCCGCGGUAAUACGGAGGGAGCAAGCGUUACUCGGAAUCACUGGGCGUAAAGGACGCGUAGGCGGGAUAGAAAGUCAGGUGUGAAAUCCUAUGGCUCAACCAUAGAACUGCACUUGAAACUUCUAACCUAGAGUAUGGGAGGGGAAGAUGGAAUUAGUGGUGUAGGGGUAAAAUCCGUAGAUAUCACUAGGAAUACCAAAAGCGAAGGCGAUCUUCUGGAACAAUACUGACGCUAAGGCGUGAAAGCGUGGGGAGCAAACAGGAUUAGAUACCCUGGUAGUC